AGUUGCCUACGGGGGGCAGCAGUGAGGAAUAUUGGUCAAUGGUCGGGAGACUGAACCAGCCAAGCCGCGUGAGGGAGGAAGGUACAGAGUAUCGUAAACCUCUUUUGUCAGGGAACAAAGACUGGGACGCGUCCCCGGAUGAGUGUACCUGAAGAAAAAGCAUCGGCUAACUCCGUGCCAGCAGCCGCGGUAAUACGGAGGAUGCGAGCGUUAUCCGGAUUUAUUGGGUUUAAAGGAUGCGCAGGCGGCCUGUUAAGUCAGCGGUAAAAGCCCGGGGCUCAACCCCGGCGAGCCGUUGAAGCUGG
This 305-nucleotide ribosomal RNA is filed under the name uncultured bacterium. RNAcentral describes it as "bacterial SSU rRNA". It matches the Rfam family "Bacterial small subunit ribosomal RNA", at positions 333 to 636 of the family's 1533-position model. The record is from RNAcentral.